GACGUAGGGUCCAAGCGUUGUCCGGAAUUAUUGGGCGUAAAGAGCUCGUAGGCGGUCUGUCGCGUCUGCUGUGAAAAUCCAGGGCUCAACCCUGGACCUGCAGUGGGUACGGGCAGACUAGAGUGCGGUAGGGGAGAUCGGAAUUCCUGGUGUAGCGGUGAAAUGCGCAGAUAUCAGGAGGAACACCGGUGGCGAAGGCGGAUCUCUGGGCCGUAACUGACGCUGAGGAGCGAAAGCAUGGGGAGCGAACAGG
RNAcentral lists this ribosomal RNA (253 nucleotides) under uncultured bacterium. Its description in RNAcentral is "partial 16S ribosomal RNA". It matches the Rfam family "Bacterial small subunit ribosomal RNA", at positions 524 to 776 of the family's 1533-position model. The record is from RNAcentral.